Molecule: long non-coding RNA, 2335 nt
Organism: Homo sapiens (human)
Lineage: Eukaryota; Metazoa; Chordata; Mammalia; Primates; Hominidae
Gene: PSMA3-AS1
Product: PSMA3 antisense RNA 1
Source: Ensembl
GCUCACGCCUGUAAUCCCAGCACUUUGGGAGGCCAAGGCGGGCAGAUCACAAGGUCAGGAGUUCGAGACCAGCCUGGCUAAUAUAGUGAAACCCCAUUUCUACUAAAAAUGCAAACAUUAGUCAGGCAUGGUGGCAGGUGCCUGUAGUCCCAGCUACUUGGGAGGCUGAGGCAGGAGACUCUCUUCAACCCGUGAGGCAGAGGUUGCAGUGAGUCGAGAUCAUGUCACUGCACUUCAGCUUAAGCAACAGAGCGAGACUCCAUCUCAAAAAAAGAAAAGCACGUCACUCGAUGUUCUUUCUUUCAUAAGAGUUGAAGAACUAGAUAUAAAACCAAGGAAAAUAACCUAAAGUCUGAAAAAGACCAGAAUCGAAGUUUCCUGAUUCAUAUUUUAAUGUUUUGAAAUUUAUACUCCAGGCUGGGUGCAGUGGCUUGUGCCUGUAAUCCCAGCACUUUGGGAGGCCGAGGCGGCCGGAUUGCCUGAAGUCAGAAGUUCGAGACCAGCCUGACCAACAUGGUGAAACCCUGUCUCUACUUAAAAAUACAAAAGAGCUGGGCAUGGAGGUGGUGCGCGCCUGUAACCCUAGCUACUCGGGAGGCUGAGGCCUAAGAAUCUCUUGAACCCAGGAGGCAGAGGUUGUAGUGAGCCGGGAUCACGCCACUGCACUCUAGCCUGGGCGACAGAGAGAGAGACUGUCUAAAAAAGGAAAAGAAAAAAAUUUAUACGCCAAAAAAGAUAUUCUGAGAUAACCUGUAGUUACCACUAACUUUGUGACAAAAUUAUAAAAAUCCACAGCCAUCUAUGAAUCUGUAGGCAGACCUGAAGUUUGAACGACUGGUGAAGACAUCUGAUUUUCUUUAUAGCCAAGUUAGGAUAACAAAAUGCAAACAAGUCAUUAAUAUUUACUAUAUGCAAGAUACAGAAAGAUGAAGGAAGGAGUAAGAAGUUAUCCUUCGUGGAACUAUUCAAAGCAAAAAUGCAAAAUACCAGGGAAAGCUUUGAAGAACCAAGAUUUGAGCAGGUUCUUAGAAUAUAGAUUGGAUUGGAUUUGAUUUCAAGAAAGAUGAACGUGUAAAGCAGAAGUGGGAAGCCAAAAACUUUUUUCCAAAUUAGAAUUAAGCAUUCUUUCAAUGAACAUUUGGAAAUCAAGGUAGAAAAAUAUCCCUAGGGCCUAGCUGAGGAGUCUGUAUGUUGUUGGGUUUUGAUAGUAACCAGUCCAAGAUUUUGUUAUUAGACGUGGGUUUCUGAAUAGACAGGCAUUUCUGAACAGACAUGACAGGAUCAAAACAAUGUUUGAGCAAACUGCCCUUCAUCUACUGUGGAUAUGUUGGGGGAUGAUGGAAUAUAGUGAAAGAUAAUGGGUGCUCAUACAGCAGUCUAGACUUAAGGUGAUUCAACUACUAUAUAUUAAACUAGAUUAUCUUUUAUUUUUUAAUUUUGAAAUCUGGAUGCUCAAGCUCUGCCUGCACAACCACAUGAGGAAGAAGGAACAAUGACAACAAAAAUAACACUAAAUUUAAAUUUAAGAGUACUACUUUUAGGAAAUAGACAAACCAUUAUUUGGGUACAACUAAAGGCAACUGGCAUGGACUCAAAUAUUUUGGGGAAGAAAAAGACUAAAAGUUCUAAGGAAGAAAAUGCGAACCUUGAUAGUUUGAAAUAGUUAAAAAGACAGUGUAGAAACUGCUUAGGCAGUUUGAUUAUGGACUAUUAGAUGAUACUUGGGUCUGAUAAUGGUAUAAGGAGAAUAAAGUAUUUAGGGAUCCAAUAUUACGCCUGCAGCUUUUUCCAAAUAGUUCAUGGGGGAGGGGGAUGUGUAAGUGGUUAACUGAAGUCUAACUAGAUAGGUUUGUUGUAAGCUUAGGAUGUUUACAGUUCUUCAUGUUAAGUUGAGCGUGAUGGGAAGGGAAAGAAUGCUGAUCUUUAAAUUUUUGUCCUUAGUUAAGUUCUGUAUUUAGUGAAUUAAUUGCAUCCUAAAAAGUCAAACUUGAAAAGCACAUUUUAAAUGGCAAAUCUAUUUUUUACAUGUUUGUGAAGUUUUUAUUUUUUAGUAAACAGACCAUCAGAAGAGAACAAUGGUACAGAGCAGGGGUCAGCAGAUGGAUUUUGUAAAGCAUCAACUUGUAAAUAUUUUCAAGUUUAUUAGCUGUAUGGCUCUGGUUUCUGUUCCCUGUUCCAAAUGUUAAAGUCUACUGUUGUAUUCUAAAAGCAGCCAUGGACUGAAUGUAGCUGUGUUCCAAUAAAACUUACACAAAAGCAGGCAGUGGGCCAUAAUUUGCAACACCUGAUUCACAGCAUAAUUUUGUCACAAACUGAAAGUGUUCCUCAAUUAAAG